This 810-nucleotide ribosomal RNA is filed under the name uncultured bacterium. RNAcentral describes it as "bacterial SSU rRNA". It matches the Rfam family "Bacterial small subunit ribosomal RNA", at positions 24 to 828 of the family's 1533-position model. The record is from RNAcentral.
AAAGGAGAAGCUGGCUGCUGUGCUGAUACAUGCAGUCGAGCGAAUGGUUAAGAGCUUGCUCUUAUGAAGUUAGCGGCGGACGGGUGAGUAACACGUGGGUAACCUGCCAUAAGACUGGGAUAACUCCGGGAAACCGGGGCUAAUACCGGAUAACAUUUUGAACCGCAUGGUUCGAAAUUGAAAGGCGGCUUUGGCUGUCACUUAUGGAUGGACCCGCGUCGCAUUAGCUAGUUGGUGAGGUAACGGCUCACCAAGGCAACGAUGCGUAGCCGACCUGAGAGGGUGAUCGGCCACACUGGGACUGAGACACGGCCCAGACUCCUACGGGAGGCAGUAGUAGGGAAUCUUCCGCAAUGGACGAAAGUCUGACGGAGCAACGCCGCGUGAGUGAUGAAGGCUUUCGGGUCGUAAAACUCUGUUGUUAGGGAAGAACAAGUGCUAGUUGAAUAAGCUGGCACCUUGACGGUACCUAACCAGAAAGCCACGGCUAACUACGUGCCAGCAGCCGCGGUAAUACGUAGGUGGCAAGCGUUAUCCGGAAUUAUUGGGCGUAAAGCGCGCGCAGGCGGUUUCUUAAGUCUGAUGUGAAAGCCCCACGGCUCAACCCGUGGAGGGUCAUUGGAAACUGGGAGACUUGAGUGCAGAGAGGAAAGUGGAAUUCCAUGUGUAGCGGUGAAAUGCGUAGAGAUAUGGAGGACACCAGUGCGAAGGCGACUUUCUGGUCUGUACUGACACUGAGCGCGAAGCGUGGGAGCAAACAGAUAGAUACCCUGUAGUCCACGCCGUAACGAUGAGUGCUAGUGUAGAGGG